CUAAAUGAAGAGUAGAUUCCGUUUUAUAACCAAAUGUGCCUUUGUGAGUAGCCAAAUAGGUUAUAACAGCCAAAUUGUAACAACUGAAAAGCAUUUGGCUGCUGAAGGCAAUUAGUGAGUAGACCCCAUAAUAUAUGUACAGCUAAAUAUCAAACUCCUGUUAAUCUAUGACCAAACGAACUGAUCCAGAUGGAUUGAUUCAUUUGGGCGUAGAUUAACAGGAUACAACCAUAAAGAAUUGUGAAGUGGAGCACCUAUUUAGAUAUAGUAUACUUGUGAAUCACACUAAAAACGUGUACUUAUCUGAAAUAAAUCUUGCUGUGUAGCAUCACUUUAAACAAGAAAAUCAUAUGUUCA
Molecule: non-coding RNA, 357 nt
Organism: Pelobates cultripes (western spadefoot toad)
Lineage: Eukaryota; Metazoa; Chordata; Amphibia; Anura; Pelobatidae
Source: the annotation of a GenBank genome assembly